This is a transfer RNA of Rhizoclosmatium globosum, 72 nucleotides long. It matches the Rfam family "tRNA". Rfam says of the family: Transfer RNA (tRNA) molecules are approximately 80 nucleotides in length. Their secondary structure includes four short double-helical elements and three loops (D, anti-codon, and T loops). Further hydrogen bonds mediate the characteristic L-shaped molecular structure. tRNAs have two regions of fundamental functional importance: the anti-codon, which is responsible for specific mRNA codon recognition, and the 3' end, to which the tRNAs corresponding amino acid is attached (by aminoacyl-tRNA synthetases). tRNAs cope with the degeneracy of the genetic code in two manners: having more than one tRNA (with a specific anti-codon) for a particular amino acid; and 'wobble' base-pairing, i.e. permitting non-standard base-pairing at the 3rd anti-codon position. NCBI's taxonomy places the organism in Eukaryota, Fungi, Chytridiomycota, Chytridiomycetes, Chytridiales, Chytriomycetaceae. The record is from Rfam.
GGGGUUAUAGCUCAGUGGUAGAGCGCCUGCUUCGCAUGCAUGAGGCCCAGGGUUCAAUCCCCUGUGACUCCA